This 404-nucleotide ribosomal RNA is filed under the name Pelagomonas calceolata. RNAcentral describes it as "SSU rRNA". It matches the Rfam family "Eukaryotic small subunit ribosomal RNA", at positions 723 to 1128 of the family's 1831-position model. Lineage: Eukaryota; Pelagophyceae; Pelagomonadales; Pelagomonadaceae. The record is from RNAcentral.
UCAGUUGUCGGGGUCGGGAUUCUCGACGUUUACUGUGAAAAAAUCAGAGUGUUCAACGCAGGCUUACGCCUUGAAUACAUUAGCAUGGAAUAAUGAGAUAGGACCUUGGCGGUCUAUUUUGUUGGUUUGCACGCCGAGGUAAUGAUUAAAAGGGACGGUUGGGGUUCUUCGUAUUCAAUUGUCAGAGGUGAAAUUCUUGGAUUUAUGGAAGACGAACUGCUGCGAAAGCGUCGAACAAGGACGUUCUCAUUAAUCAAGAACGAAAGUUAGGGGAUCGAAGAUGAUUAGAUACCAUCGUAGUCUUAACCAUAAACUAUGCCGAUUCAGGAUUGGCGGUCGUUUGUUCUCGACUCCGUCAGCACUGUAUGAGAAAUCAAAAUCUUUGGGUUCCGGGGGGAGUAUGG